GGGAUUAGGCAGCAGUGGGGAAUUUUGGACAAUGGGCGCAAGCCUGAUCCAGCCAUGCCGCGUGUCUGAAGAAGGCCUUCGGGUUGUAAAGGACUUUUGUCAGGGAAGAAAAGGGCGGGGUUAAUACCCCUGUCUGAUGACGGUACCUGAAGAAUAAGCACCGGCUAACUACGUGCCAGCAGCCGCGGUAAUACGUAGGGUGCGAGCGUUAAUCGGAAUUACUGGGCGUAAAGCGGGCGCAGACGGUUACUUAAGCAGGAUGUGAAAUCCCCGGGCUCAACCUGGGAACUGCGUUCUGAACUGGGUGACUAGAGUGUGUCAGAGGGAGGUAGAAUUCCACGUGUAGCAGUGAAAUGCGUAGAGAUGUGGAGGAAUACCGAUGGCGAAGGCAGCCUCCUGGGAUAACACUGACGUUCAUGCCCGAAAGCGUGGGUAGCAAACAGGAUUAGAUACCCUGGUAGUCCACGCCCUAAACGAUGUCGAUUAGCUGUUGGGCAGCAUGACUGCUUAGUAGCGAAGCUAACGCGUGAAAUCGACCGCCUGGGGAGUACGGUCGCAAGAUUAAAACUCAAAGGAAUUGACGG
RNAcentral lists this ribosomal RNA (584 nucleotides) under uncultured Neisseria sp. RNAcentral's name for it is "bacterial SSU rRNA". It matches the Rfam family "Bacterial small subunit ribosomal RNA", at positions 340 to 916 of the family's 1533-position model. The record is from RNAcentral. Lineage: Bacteria; Pseudomonadati; Pseudomonadota; Betaproteobacteria; Neisseriales; Neisseriaceae.